Molecule: unclassified non-coding RNA, 2858 nt
Filed under: Hevea brasiliensis (rubber tree)
Lineage: Eukaryota; Viridiplantae; Streptophyta; Magnoliopsida; Malpighiales; Euphorbiaceae
Source: RNAcentral
CUCCAGUCCAAAUUUGGAAGUCUACCAAUUAACAAUUUCUAGUCAUAAAAACCACAUUUGAUACGCCCCGAAUUCUCAAAACAGCAAAACAAUGUCAUUACCAUUUAAAGGAGGCUACAGGGAGGGGAGGAAAUGAAAUGCCUGAAAUAUACAUUUUAAAGCAUAAAAUUAAAUAGUUUUUUGAAAUACAGGAAAUAACAUUAUUGUAGUCAACUUCCACCCAAAAAUGGUCAACCAACAAGAUCUUAUGUGGGGUACUGAAAAAUCUCAUUUGCCACCCAAGGUUGGGAACUGCCCGCGGUCUUCUAUGGAAGGGGCUGCCACAUUGCUCAUUGUAUCUCUGUUGCUGAACCCUCUGGCACCACGGCCACGCCCUCGACCACGACCACCUGGGCUAUAGUACCUUUCCCCUUCAGCAGGCUUCAAGAACUCGUUAAUGCUGACAGACUAGAACCAUCAAAACAUUUCAGCUCUACUGAUCAGUAUUUACUUGUAGACAGGAACAUUUAAUAAUAAAAUAAACAAGGAAAGAGUCGUUAUUCCAGUUCUUACACAAGCCAGUACUAACAGACUCCUAUAUUUAAAAAAUAAGAGCAAACAAGAAGCCUCCAUGAAAGUUUGCGAAUCAUUGUUCAUGCUCCUCAUGAGCACAAUAGAAUAGUAAUGUAAAGAAGUGCAAGGCACUGACGAUUUCAAUCUGCCUAUUUCAAUACAAUCACAAUAUUGCUGAAGAUAACCACAUAGAAACAAAAUAAACAUUUAACUAAUAUAUGUUAAAUUCUGGAAUGCAAAAGCAUGUUGUAAACAUAGGGAAGAAGAAGAAGGAAAAAGGUUGGGGCUGAAGGGUAGUACCUUUUUAGCUCUCUCAUCCUUCUCAAAAGCCUCUUUCCGCUUAUCCUUAUCAGAGCCCUUGAAAAUGGACAUUAAAAGAAAAAAAACAUUUAAUUUAUUUGCUGAUGGCUUCACACUAUCAAUGGAUACUGGAUAGUUAAUAACUAAAAAGGGAUCACAACAUAGUUCACCAAUUUAAUAAAGAUGUCAUCAUUCUCCUUCUUGCUUGAAAGCUGCUGCAUGGAUUCAAAUGCUUUAGCAUCCACCUUUCUUUCCUCAGCCUUGUGUGCCUGCAGGGCCUUCCUCUUCUCUUCCAGUACCUUCUCAUACUCUUCAAGAGUCAUUUCCUAAAUAGAAUGAAAGAAGUACCAUAAGCCAUAAACAUACAAUAUCCUAGAACUUGCUACUGAUUGACAAAAAGAGAAAGAAGUUGGAUUUUUUAUUCCCAGAGUUACAUUGUUACUUUAAUAAUUAGGCAGUUAGCAGCUGGAGUUCAUAGACAAUACAUUUUAACAUUUAUAAACACGAAUCAGUCCAAGUACCAAGAACACAUUCUAGAGGCUUUUAAGACAACCCCACAGCUUCAGAACAGCAGUCCAAGACAUGAAUGGAUAAUAAAAGAAAGCUUUCACUUGAACUAGAUAACCUGAGGAUUGGAAACUCAGUCUGCCACAUUUAGAACUUUUGGCAGCAGAACAAAUAUGGCUAUGGAUAAACCUUGAACUUAGCAAUUACAAAAUGUCCAACUACUACUCAUAGAAAGCAACGCCUAAAAUGUAAUCUUAAUGGCAUUUGUUUCAUCCUCAUAACAACACAUUUUAAGAAAUGACAAUCAGGAAACAUUAAAAGAUCAACCUUUAGGUAAUAUGCGUCCUCUUUUGGAUAAAAGAAACCAAAAAUAAAAUAAAAAGCAAUACAGGCAAAUAAAACAUCUUUGAUAACUUAAUAUGUAAGAACAUUCACCUUAUCUUUGGGUUCCUUUUCUUCAGGUUCAUUAGCAGCACCCUCCUUAUUAGAAUCUACUGUUUCCCCCUCUCCAAUGGGCUUCUCAUCACCCAAGUUUUUCUCACCCUCAUUGACAGCUUCCUCUGUCACCCUAAAAUAGCAAAAAUAAUAAUUAAUCACUGCCCCCCAAAAAAAUGCAAAUAUCAAAUAGGGUUCUAACUGUUUAUGAAAAGUUCAUCUAUAGUCACUAACUGAGCAAGUUCAUCAGCCUGGUUUCCCCAGUUUCCACGACCAGACCCCUCUCGUUUGAUCUCAUUUCCGCGUCCAGUCCCACUACGGCGUUCAAAUUGCCGAUGAGGGCGAUCUCCAUCGCCAACUUCCCCAUUAGUGAAACCACCACCACGACCACCACUGCGGUAACCACCACCACGAGUUCCACCAUAUCCCCGCCUUUCAGAGGGCUUUGCAGCAUCUCCAUCUUCAGGGGCACCUUGACCAGCCGGUCCUCCAGCAUUACUGAAUGAAUUCUCAUUGUUGGCGUCCCGACUGUAUCCACCACGACCGCGCCCAUAUCCGCGUCCCCCACCACGACCUCCUCCACGGCUAGCUUCAUUCUUUGCCUCCCUCACAGCCUGAGCCGGAGGUACGGGCUUGGAGGGGAGCUUAGACGACUGCUUGGCUAGAGGCUGAGGCUGAGAUUUCUUAGGAGGAGCGGCGGCGGCGGCGGCCUUCAGCUGCUGAGCUGCGAUCAGCUGCGUAAGGUCCUCGGCGUCAUCGUCAACCAACAAAUCGAAAGGGUUCAAAGUCGCCAUUUGAGAUGAAAAAAUCAGCGGAGAAGAGCAAAACCCCCAAAACACUCGAGGAUUCUACUUGGAAAGGCGACUAGGAAACCCUAAGUAAACAAGUCCUCCAUGGUAAAAUUAUACACAGAGAUCUGUAAACAAGAGGGGAUUGGAUUGAGUUAGAGAGAGGAAAGAGAAUAAGGUAGAGAGAGAAAUAGAGAAACCCUAGCCGCAAUAGAAGAGUGAGCUAGCGAGUGAAACCUAAUCUCAAUUUAUCGUUGUUCUAGUUGCUGCUGUUGC